This 483-nucleotide ribosomal RNA is filed under the name uncultured bacterium. RNAcentral describes it as "bacterial SSU rRNA". It matches the Rfam family "Bacterial small subunit ribosomal RNA", at positions 328 to 803 of the family's 1533-position model. The record is from RNAcentral.
GAAUUCAACUCCUACGGGAGGCAGCAGUAGGGAAUCUUCCGCAAUGGGCGAAAGCCUGACGGAGCAACGCCGCGUGAGUGAAGAAGGAUUUCGGUUCGUAAAGCUCUGUUGUUAGGGAAGAAUGAUUAUGUAGUAACUAUACAUAGUAGAGACGGUACCUAACCAGAAGGCCACGGCUAACUACGUGCCAGCAGCCGCGGUAAUACGUAGGUGGCAAGCGUUGUCCGGAAUUAUUGGGCGUAAAGCGCGCGCAGGUGGUUUAAUAAGUCUGAUGUGAAAGCCCACGGCUCAACCGUGGAGGGUCAUUGGAAACUGUUAAACUUGAGUGCAGGAGAGAAAAGUGGAAUUCCUAGUGUAGCGGUGAAAUGCGUAGAGAUUAGGAGGAACACCAGUGGCGAAGGCGGCUUUUUGGCCUGUAACUGACACUGAGGCGCGAAAGCGUGGGGAGCAAACAGGAUUAGAAACCCCUGUAGUCCAGGCGUU